GGAUGGGAAUGCAGAUUUGGAUGCCUCGUAUCGUAUGAUAAAGAAGAGAGUUUUUACAAAGCCCUAGAGCUAGAGCUUGUUGAGAAAGUAGCUUUGAAGAUGGGCUUCCUAUGGGAAAUAGGGAAGUUUAAAGCGAUAACAAAGGCCUUAGGGAAUAGGAUCUCUUUCUGCGUCUACUGAUGCUUUUGAAAAAAGCCUUUGGUUUGGCUUGUUUAAUUGAUUCGUACGUAAUCCGAGAGCUUCAUACGUGGGAUUUAUUUGGCAAAGGAAAGUCAAGAGAAAAGGUGGUAGCUAUUCUAGCAAGUCUUCUGUGGAGGA
This 318-nucleotide long non-coding RNA is filed under the name Nicotiana benthamiana. RNAcentral's name for it is "long non-coding RNA (NBEN_LNC029055)". The record is from RNAcentral. Lineage: Eukaryota; Viridiplantae; Streptophyta; Magnoliopsida; Solanales; Solanaceae.